RNAcentral lists this ribosomal RNA (253 nucleotides) under uncultured bacterium. RNAcentral describes it as "partial 16S ribosomal RNA". It matches the Rfam family "Bacterial small subunit ribosomal RNA", at positions 524 to 776 of the family's 1533-position model. The record is from RNAcentral.
UACGUAGGUGACAAGCGUUGUCCGGAUUUACUGGGCGUAAAGAGCGCGCAGGCGGUCGACCAAGUCGAGUGUGAAAGCCCCCGGCUCAACUGGGGAGGGUCAUUCGAUACUGAUCGACUCGAAGGCAGGAGAGGGUAGUGGAAUUCCCGGUGUAGUGGUGAAAUGCGUAGAUAUCCGGAGGAACACCGGCGGCGAAGGCGGCUUCCUGGACCGACACUGACGCUGAGGCGCGAAAGCUAGGGGAGCAAACGGG